RNAcentral lists this ribosomal RNA (270 nucleotides) under uncultured archaeon. RNAcentral's name for it is "partial 16S ribosomal RNA". It matches the Rfam family "Archaeal small subunit ribosomal RNA", at positions 477 to 747 of the family's 1478-position model. The record is from RNAcentral.
CAGCACCUCAAGUGGUCAGGAUGAUUAUUGGGCCUAAAGCAUCCGUAGCCGGCUCUGUAAGUUUUCGGUUAAAUCUGUAUGCUCAACAUACAGGCUGCCGGGAAUACUGCAGAGCUAGGGAGUGGGAGAGGUAGACGGUACUCGGUAGGAAGGGGUAAAAUCCUUUGAUCUAUUGAUGACCACCUGUGGCGAAGGCGGUCUACCAGAACACGUCCGACGGUGAGUGAUGAAAGCUGGGGGAGCAAACCGGAUUAGAUACCCGAGUAGUCC